UGGCGGACGGGUGAGUAACGCGUGGGUAACCUACCUCAUACAGGGGGAUAACAGUUGGAAACGACCGCUAAUACCGCAUAACCCGCUAGUAUCGCAUGAUACAGACGGAAAAGAUUUAUCGGUAUGAGAUGGACCCGCGUCUGAUUAGCCAGUUGGCAGGGUAACGGCCUACCAAAGCGACGAUCAGUAGCCGGCCUGAGAGGGUGAACGGCCACAUUGGGACUGAGACACGGCCCAAACUCCUACGGAAGGCAGCAG
This 258-nucleotide ribosomal RNA is filed under the name uncultured bacterium. Its description in RNAcentral is "partial 16S ribosomal RNA". It matches the Rfam family "Bacterial small subunit ribosomal RNA", at positions 96 to 354 of the family's 1533-position model. The record is from RNAcentral.